GACGAACGCUGGCGGCGUGCCUAAUACAUGCAAGUAGAACGCUGAAGAGAGGAGCUUGCUCUUCUUGGAUGAGUUGCGAACGGGUGAGUAACGCGUAGGUAACCUGCCUUGUAGCGGGGGAUAACUAUUGGAAACGAUAGCUAAUACCGCAUAACAAUAGGUGACACAUGUCAUUUAUUUGAAAGGGGCAAUUGCUCCACUACAAGAUGGACCUGCGUUGUAUUAGCUAGUAGGUGAGGUAACGGCUCACCUAGGCGACGAUACAUAGCCGACCUGAGAGGGUGAUCGGCCACACUGGGACUGAGACACGGCCCAGACUCCUACGGGAGGCAGCAGUAGGGAAUCUUCGGCAAUGGGGGCAAACCUGACCGAGCAACGCCGCGUGAGUGAAGAAGGUUUUCGGAUCGUAAAGCUCUGUUGUAAGUCAAGAACGAGUGUGAGAGUGGAAAGUUCACACUGUGACGGUAGCUUACCAGAAAGGGACGGCUAAGUACGUG
This 497-nucleotide ribosomal RNA is filed under the name uncultured bacterium. Its description in RNAcentral is "partial 16S ribosomal RNA". It matches the Rfam family "Bacterial small subunit ribosomal RNA", at positions 28 to 507 of the family's 1533-position model. The record is from RNAcentral.